This 212-nucleotide unclassified non-coding RNA is filed under the name uncultured fungus. RNAcentral describes it as "sequence contains ITS1, 5.8S rRNA gene". Lineage: Eukaryota; Fungi. The record is from RNAcentral.
ACGUAUCUACCCGGGUGGCAGAGGGUGCGUGCCCCGCUCCGACCCACUCAAGGGCCGUGCAGCGGCCGUGCCCCGCCCCCGAACCUUCACAAACCCACCGUGCACCUUUGUCGGCGGAAGGGGCGCUGGCGAAAGCUGCGUCCUGGAGGCCGGAACCACAAACACAAAGUUUGAAGAAUGCUCUGCGGACCACGUGCCGCCUAAACUUGUAA